GGUUAAGCGACUAAGCGUACACGGUGGAUGCCUAGGCAGUCAGAGGCGAUGAAGGGCGUGCUAAUCUGCGAAAAGCGUCGGUAAGGUGAUAUGAACCGUUACAACCGACGAUACCCGAAUGGGGAAACCCAGUGCAAUUCGUUGCACUAUUGCAUGGUGAAUACAUAGCCAUGCAAGGCGAACCGGGGGAACUGAAACAUCUAAGUACCCCGAGGAAAAGAAAUCAACCGAGAUUCCCCCAGUAGCGGCGAGCGAACGGGGAGGAGCCCAGAACCUGAAUCAGCGUAUGUGUUAGUGGAAGCGUCUGGAAAGUCGCACGGUACAGGGUGAUAGUCCCGUACACAAAAAUGCAUAUGUUGUGAGUUCGAUGAGUAGGGCGGGACACGUGACAUCCUGUCUGAAUAUGGGGGGACCAUCCUCCAAGGCUAAAUACUCCUGACUGACCGAUAGUGAACCAGUACCGUGAGGGAAAGGCGAAAAGAACCCCGGCGAGGGGAGUGAAAUAGAACCUGAAACCGUGUACGUACAAGCAGUGGGAGCACCUUCGUGGUGUGACUGCGUACCUUUUGUAUAAUGGGUCAGCGACUUAUAUUUUGUAGCAAGGUUAACCGAAUAGGGGAGCCGUAGGGAAACCGAGUCUUAACUGGGCGAAUAGUUGCAAGGUAUAGACCCGAAACCCGGUGAUCUAGCCAUGGGCAGGUUGAAGGUUGGGUAACACUAACUGGAGGACCGAACCGACUAAUGUUGAAAAAUUAGCGGAUGACUUGUGGCUGGGGGUGAAAGGCCAAUCAAACCGGGAGAUAGCUGGUUCUCCCCGAAAGCUAUUUAGGUAGCGCCUCGUGAACUCAUCUUCGGGGGUAGAGCACUGUUUCGGCUAGGGGGUCAUCCCGACUUACCAAACCGAUGCAAACUCCGAAUACCGAAGAAUGUUAUCACGGGAGACACACGGCGGGUGCUAACGUCCGUCGUGAAGAGGGAAACAACCCAGACCGCCAGCUAAGGUCCCAAAGUCAUGGUUAAGUGGGAAACGAUGUGGGAAGGCAUAGACAGCCAGGAUGUUGGCUUAGAAGCAGCCAUCAUUUAAAGAAAGCGUAAUAGCUCACUGGUCGAGUCGGCCUGCGCGGAAGAUGUAACGGGGCUAAACCAUGCACCGAAGCUGCGGCAGCGACGCUUAGGCGUUGUUGGGUAGGGGAGCGUUCUGUAAGCCGUUGAAGGUGACCUGUGAGGGUUGCUGGAGGUAUCAGAAGUGCGAAUGCUGACAUAAGUAACGAUAAUGCGGGUGAAAAACCCGCACGCCGGAAGACCAAGGGUUCCUGUCCAACGUUAAUCGGGGCAGGGUGAGUCGACCCCUAAGGCGAGGCUGAAAAGCGUAGUCGAUGGGAAACAGGUUAAUAUUCCUGUACUUGGUGUUACUGCGAAGGGGGGACGGAGAAGGCUAGGCUAGCCGGGCGACGGUUGUCCCGGUUUAAGCAUGUAGGCGGAGUGACUUGGUAAAUCCGGUUGCUUAUCA
RNAcentral lists this ribosomal RNA (1510 nucleotides) under Yersinia enterocolitica. RNAcentral describes it as "partial 23S ribosomal RNA". It matches the Rfam family "Bacterial large subunit ribosomal RNA", at positions 1 to 1554 of the family's 2925-position model. The record is from RNAcentral. Lineage: Bacteria; Pseudomonadati; Pseudomonadota; Gammaproteobacteria; Enterobacterales; Yersiniaceae.